GCCGGAGUAGCUCAGUGGCAGAGCAACACUUUUGUAAAGUGAAGGUCGGAGGUUCGACUCCUCUCUCCGGCU
Molecule: transfer RNA, 72 nt
Filed under: Candidatus Colwelliibacteriota bacterium
Lineage: Bacteria; Candidatus Colwelliibacteriota
Description: Candidatus Colwellbacteria bacterium tRNA-Thr
Rfam family: tRNA
About the family: Transfer RNA (tRNA) molecules are approximately 80 nucleotides in length. Their secondary structure includes four short double-helical elements and three loops (D, anti-codon, and T loops).
Source: RNAcentral